RNAcentral lists this ribosomal RNA (486 nucleotides) under uncultured bacterium. Its description in RNAcentral is "partial 16S ribosomal RNA". It matches the Rfam family "Bacterial small subunit ribosomal RNA", at positions 899 to 1397 of the family's 1533-position model. The record is from RNAcentral.
ACUCAAAUGAAUUGACGGGUGCCCGCACAAGCAGCGGAGCGUGUGGUUCAAUUCGAUGCUACACGAAGAACCUUACCUGGGUUUGACAUAUAGGUGGUAGAGAACGGAAACGGGAUCGACCCUUCGGGGAGCCUAUACAGGUGCUGCAUGGCUGUCGUCAGCUCGUGUCGUGAGAUGUCCGGUUAAGUCCGGUAACGAGCGCAACCCCUGCUGUAUGUUACAAGUGUCAUACGGGACUGCCGGUAUCAAGCCGGAGGAAGGUGGGGAUGACGUCAAGUCAGCAUGGCCUUUAUAUCCAGGGCUACACACACGCUACAAUGGCUAAAACAAUGGGUUUGCAAGACCGCGAGGUGGAGCCAAUCCUCAAAUUUAGCCCCAGUUCAGAUUGCAGGCUGCAACUCGCCUGCAUGAAGUCGGAGUUGCUAGUAACCGCGCGUCAGCAUUAGUGCGGUGAAUACGUUCCCGGGCGUUGUACACACCGCCCGU